GAUGAACGCUGGCGGCGUGCCUAACACAUGCAAGUCGAGCGGACGGAGGGGAAGUGUGCUUGGCUGCAGUUAGCGGCGGGCGGGUGAGUCAUAGGUGGAUGCCUUAUCUAUGGGACUGGGGUCAGGUAGGGGACGCGGAUAUAGUACAGGUCAAUAUGGUGAACGGGAGGGUUCAACAGUGCACGAGGGACUUGCUGUCACUUAUAGAGGGUACCGCGCUGGAUUAGCUAGUUGGUACGGUAACGGCCUACCAAGGCUACGAUGCAUAGCUGAUCUGAGAGGGUGAUCAGCCACACUGGAACUGAGACACGGUCCAGACUCCUACGGGAGGCAGCAGUAGGGAAUCUUCCACAAUGGGCGAAAGCCUGACGGAGCCAUGCCGCGUGAGUGAUGAAGGUCUUCGGAUUGUAAAGCUCUGUUAUUUGGGAAGAACAGAUGUAUAAUAAUCCGUGCACAUCUUGACGGUACCAAAACAGAAAGCACCGGCUAACUACGUG
RNAcentral lists this ribosomal RNA (497 nucleotides) under uncultured bacterium. RNAcentral's name for it is "partial 16S ribosomal RNA". It matches the Rfam family "Bacterial small subunit ribosomal RNA", at positions 28 to 507 of the family's 1533-position model. The record is from RNAcentral.